Molecule: ribosomal RNA, 492 nt
Filed under: uncultured bacterium
Lineage: Bacteria
Description: partial 16S ribosomal RNA
Rfam family: Bacterial small subunit ribosomal RNA
Source: RNAcentral
AGUGAACGCUGGCGGUAGGCCUAACACAUGCAAGUCGAACGGCAGCACAGUAAGAGCUUGCUCUUACGGGUGGCGAGUGGCGGACGGGUGAGGAAUACAUCGGAAUCUACUUUUUCGUGGGGGAUAACGUAGGGAAACUUACGCUAAUACCGCAUACGACCUACGGGUGAAAGCAGGGGAUCUUCGGACCUUGCGCGAUUGAAUGAGCCGAUGUCGGAUUAGCUAGUUGGCGGGGUAAAGGCCCACCAAGGCGACGAUCCGUAGCUGGUCUGAGAGGAUGAUCAGCCACACUGGAACUGAGACACGGUCCAGACUCCUACGGGAGGCAGCAGUGGGGAAUAUUGGACAAUGGGCGCAAGCCUGAUCCAGCCAUACCGCGUGGGUGAAGAAGGCCUUCGGGCUGUAAAGCCCUUUUGUUGGGAAAGAAGAGCAGCAGGUUAAUACCCCGCUGUUCUGACGGUACCCAAAGAAUAAGCACCGGCUAACUUCGUG